This 499-nucleotide ribosomal RNA is filed under the name uncultured bacterium. RNAcentral's name for it is "partial 16S ribosomal RNA". It matches the Rfam family "Bacterial small subunit ribosomal RNA", at positions 28 to 507 of the family's 1533-position model. The record is from RNAcentral.
GACGAACGCUGGCGGCGUGCCUAAUACAUGCCAGUCGAGCGAAGUUUUUCUGGUGCUUGCACUAGAAACACUUAGCGGCGAACGGGUGAGUAACACGUAAAGAACCUGCCUCAUAGACUGGGACAACUAUUGGAAACGAUAGCUAAUACCGGAUAACAGUAUUUCUCGCAUGAGAGAUAUUUGAAAGUUGGUUAUGCUAACACUAUGAGAUGGCUUUGCGGUGCAUUAGCUAGUUGGUGGGGUAAAGGCCCACCAAGGCGACGAUGCAUAGCCGACCUGAGAGGGUGAUCGGCCACACUGGGACUGAGACACGGCCCAGACUCCUACGGGAGGCAGCAGUAGGGAAUCUUCCGCAAUGGGCGAAGGCCUGACGGAGCAACGCCGCGUGAGUGAAGAAGGAUUUCGGUUCGUAAAGCUCUGUUGUUAGGGAAGAAUGGAUAUGUAGUAACUAUACAUGUAAGAGACGGUACCUAACCAGAAAGCCACGGCUAACUACGUG